This 497-nucleotide ribosomal RNA is filed under the name uncultured bacterium. RNAcentral describes it as "partial 16S ribosomal RNA". It matches the Rfam family "Bacterial small subunit ribosomal RNA", at positions 28 to 507 of the family's 1533-position model. The record is from RNAcentral.
GAUGAACGCUGGCGGCGUGCCUAAUACAUGCAAGUCGAGCGAACAGACGAGGAGCUUGCUCCUCUGACGUUAGCGGCGGACGGGUGAGUAACACGUGGAUAACCUACCUAUAAGACUGGGAUAACUUCGGGAAACCGGAGCUAAUACCGGAUAAUAUAUUGAACCGCAUGGCUCAAUAGCGAAAGACGGUUUUGCUGUCACUUAUAGAUGGAUCCGCGCCGCAUUAGCUAGUUGGUAAGGUAACGGCUUAACAAGGCAACGAUGUGUAGCCGACCUGAAGGGGUGAUCGGCCACACUAGAACAGAGACUCAGUCCAGACUCCUACGGGAGGCAGCGGUAGGGAAUCUUCCGCAAUGGGCGAGAGCCUGACGGAGCAACGUCGCGUGAGUGAUGAAGGUCUUCGGAUCGUAAAACUCUGUUAUUAGGGAAGAACAAAUGUGUAAGUAACUGUGCACAUCAUGACGGUACCUAAUCAGAAAGCCACGGCUAACUACGUG